UACGAACCUGACAAACGUUAUUCGGAAUUACUGGGCUUAAAGGGUGCGUAGGCGGCGCGACAAGUUGGGUGUGAAAUCCCUCGGCUCAACCGAGGAACUGCGCUCAAUACUGUCGUGCUCGAGGGAGACAGAGGUGAGCGGAACUUAGGGUGGAGCGGUGAAAUGCGUUGAUAUCCUAAGGAACACCGGUAGCGAAAGCGGCUCACUGGGUCUUUUCUGACGCUGAGGCACGAAAGCUAGGGUAGCGAACGGG
Molecule: ribosomal RNA, 253 nt
Filed under: uncultured bacterium
Lineage: Bacteria
Description: partial 16S ribosomal RNA
Rfam family: Bacterial small subunit ribosomal RNA
Source: RNAcentral